ACCGGCGGCUCGAGUGGUAACCGUUAUUAUUGGGUCUAAAGGGUCUGUAGCCGGCCGGAUAAGUCUCUUGAGAAAUCUGGCAGCUUAACUGUCAGGCUUUCAGGAGAUACUGUCUGGCUCGAGGCCGGGAGAGGUGAGAGGUACUUCAGGGGUAGGGGUGAACUCUUGUAAUCCGUGGAGGAGGACCGGUGGCGAAGGCGUCUCACCAGAACAGACCUGUCGGUGGGGGACGAAAGAUAGGGGAGGAAUCCG
RNAcentral lists this ribosomal RNA (252 nucleotides) under uncultured prokaryote. Its description in RNAcentral is "partial 16S rRNA". It matches the Rfam family "Archaeal small subunit ribosomal RNA", at positions 475 to 726 of the family's 1478-position model. The record is from RNAcentral.